UAGAUAGACGUGCAUGUCUUCUAUGGUGUGCUUGUACUGUGGGGGCGCGAAGGGCUCAUUAAAUCAGUUAUAGUUUAUUUGGUGGUACCUUCUUACUCGGAAUACCCAUUAAAUCCUUAGAGCAAACACGUGCGUAACCCCCGAUUUGGAAAGGGGACGUAUAUUUUAUAAAAAGGGCCGACGACUUUUUCUCACCCCCGGGGGAACCCGGGAUCUUUUCCAAAAGCGCAGGCCUUUGUGCCGGCCCUUUCCCUUUCAAUUUUGCCCCCUAUAAUUUUUCGGGGGGGGGAGAGGGCCCUACCGGGGGGGAAAGGGGUGAGGGGGGAUUGGGUUUCUAUCCGGGAGGGGGACCCUGAAAACGGCCCCCAAUCCGGGGAGGGCCCGGGCGCGCAUUUACCCAAUCCGGAUACGGGGGAGGUAGUCAAAUAAUAUAACAAUACCGGGCUUUUUAGUGUCGGGUAAUUGGAAUGAGUACUCUCUAAACCCCCUUACCCGGAUAUCCUUUGAGGGGGCAAUCUCUGGGCCCGCCCCCCCCGGUAAUUCCGCUCUCCAAUACCGUAUGUUAAUUUUUUGAAUUUAAAAACCUCAAUUUGGAUUUCGGUGUGGGUUCUAGCGGCCCCCCUAUGUGGACAUAGUUUGCCCUCCUAUCUCCGGGGGACGAGCUCCGGGCUUCUCGUCGGGAUCGGAAUCCGCUUGUUCCUUCGAUGACUAAAUGUUUCAACAGGCUUCCCCCUGAUACUUACCCUGGAAAAACCGGAUGGACUCUGCCCUAUCUUGGUUGUAGACUGGAUCUAAGAAUAAAGGACACAUCAGGGCAUCUAAUUCAAUGGCCAGUCAAGUCUGAAUUUGAAGCCACUAUGCGAGCGUGCUAGGUGCAUACGUCACUGAGCUCGACGAAGAAAGUUGGGUCUAAACUGACUAAAUUGGACGAACGUGUCUAAGUGGCGAAGUUGAACUUCAGAUCCGCGCUCACAU
RNAcentral lists this ribosomal RNA (975 nucleotides) under Graesiella emersonii. Its description in RNAcentral is "partial 18S ribosomal RNA". The stretch from base 1 to 564 matches the Rfam family "Eukaryotic small subunit ribosomal RNA", at positions 40 to 605 of the family's 1831-position model. The record is from RNAcentral. Lineage: Eukaryota; Viridiplantae; Chlorophyta; Trebouxiophyceae; Chlorellales; Chlorellaceae.